GACGAACGCUGGCGGCGUGCUUAACACAUGCAAGUCGAACGGAAAGGCCCCUUCGGGGGUCCUCGAGUGGCGAACGGGUGAGUAACACGUGAGUAACCUGCCCUUGACUUCGGGAUAACUUCAGGAAACUGGGGCUAAUACCGGAUAGGAAUCCUUGCUGCAUGGUGGGGUUGGAAAGCUUCGGCGGUUUUGGAUGGACUCGCGGCUUAUCAGCUUGUUGGUGGGGUAGUGGCUUACCAAGGCUUUGACGGGUAGCCGGCCUGAGAGGGCGACCGGCCACAUUGGGACUGAGAUACGGCCCAGACUCCUACGGGAGGCAGCAGUGGGGAAUAUUGCACAAUGGGCGGAAGCCUGAUGCAGCAACGCCGCGUGCGGGAUGACGGCCUUCGGGUUGUAAACCGCUUUCAGCAGGGGCGAAGCUUGUGGUGACGGUACCUGCAGAAGAAGCACCGGCUAACUACGUG
RNAcentral lists this ribosomal RNA (464 nucleotides) under uncultured bacterium. RNAcentral's name for it is "partial 16S ribosomal RNA". It matches the Rfam family "Bacterial small subunit ribosomal RNA", at positions 28 to 507 of the family's 1533-position model. The record is from RNAcentral.